Heterocephalus glaber (naked mole-rat) is the source of this 320-nucleotide non-coding RNA. The record is from Rfam. NCBI's taxonomy places the organism in Eukaryota, Metazoa, Chordata, Mammalia, Rodentia, Bathyergidae.
GGAUGUGAGGGUGAUCUGGCUGCGACAUCUGUCACCCCAUUGAUUGGAAGGGUUGAUUUGGCUGAUCUGGCUGGCUAGGCGGGUGUCUCCUUUCUCCCUCACCGCUCCAUGUGCGUCCCUCCCGAAGCUGCGCGCUCGGUCGAAGAGGACGACCACCCCCCAGAUAGAGGACGACCGUUUCCUCAGUCAAGGGUAUAUGAGUAGCUGGGCUCCCUUGCUGCAACCUCCAAACAAGCUCUCAAGAUAGUAUUAUUGUUGGUGAAAUGACAACUUAAAAUAGCAUAUCCAAAUGAAAUAGAUCCGUAUCCAAAUGAGUAUUC